GGCGGAGUAGCUCAGUUGGUAGAGCAGCGGAAUCAUAAUCCGCGUGUCGGGGGUUCAAGUCCCUCCUCCGCUACCA
This 76-nucleotide transfer RNA is filed under the name Rubellimicrobium thermophilum DSM 16684. RNAcentral describes it as "tRNA-Met". It matches the Rfam family "tRNA". Rfam says of the family: Transfer RNA (tRNA) molecules are approximately 80 nucleotides in length. Their secondary structure includes four short double-helical elements and three loops (D, anti-codon, and T loops). RNAcentral also lists the same sequence under 1 other name. Lineage: Bacteria; Pseudomonadati; Pseudomonadota; Alphaproteobacteria; Rhodobacterales; Roseobacteraceae. The record is from RNAcentral.